GGUUAAGUUAGAAAGGGCGCACGGUGGAUGCCUUGACACUAGGAGUCGAUGAAGGACGGGACUAACGCCGAUAUGCUUCGGGGAGCUGUAAGUAAGCUUUGAUCCGAAGAUUUCCGAAUGGGGAAACCCACCAUACGUAAUGGUAUGGUAUCCUUAUCUGAAUACAUAGGGUAAGGAAGACAGACCCAGGGAACUGAAACAUCUAAGUACCUGGAGGAAGAGAAAGCAAAUGCGAUUUCCUGAGUAGCGGCGAGCGAAACGGAACAUAGCCCAAACCAAGAGGCUUGCCUCUUGGGGUUGUAGGACAUUCUAUACGGAGUUACAAAGGAACGAGGUAGACGAAGCGACCUGGAAAGGUCCGUCGUAGAGGGUAACAACCCCGUAGUCGAAACUUCGUUCUCUCUUGAAUGUAUCCUGAGUACGGCGGAACACGUGAAAUUCCGUCGGAAUCUGGGAGGACCAUCUCCCAAGGCUAAAUACUCCCUAGUGAUCGAUAGUGAACCAGUACCGUGAGGGAAAGGUGAAAAGCACCCCGGAAGGGGAGUGAAAGAGAUCCUGAAACCGUGUGCCUACAAAUAGUCAGAGCCCGUUAACGGGUGAUGGCGUGCCUUUUGUAGAAUGAACCGGCGAGUUACGAUCCCGUGCGAGGUUAAGCUGAAGAGGCGGAGCCGCAGCGAAAGCGAGUCUGAAUAGGGCGUUUAGUACGUGGUCGUAGACCCGAAACCAGGUGAUCUACCCAUGUCCAGGGUGAAGUUCAGGUAACACUGAAUGGAGGCCCGAACCCACGCACGUUGAAAAGUGCGGGGAUGAGGUGUGGGUAGCGGAGAAAUUCCAAUCGAACCUGGAGAUAGCUGGUUCUCCCCGAAAUAGCUUUAGGGCUAGCCUUAAGUGUAAGAGUCUUGGAGGUAGAGCACUGAUUGGACUAGGGGUCCUCAUCGGAUUACCGAAUUCAGUCAAACUCCGAAUGCCAAUGACUUAUCCUUAGGAGUCAGACUGCGAGUGAUAAGAUCCGUAGUCAAAAGGGAAACAGCCCAGACCGCCAGCUAAGGUCCCAAAGUGUGUAUUAAGUGGAAAAGGAUGUGGAGUUGCUUAGACAACUAGGAUGUUGGCUUAGAAGCAGCCACCAUUUAAAGAGUGCGUAAUAGCUCACUAGUCGAGUGACUCUGCGCCGAAAAUGUACCGGGGCUAAAUACACCACCGAAGCUGCGGAUUGAUACCAAUGGUAUCAGUGGUAGGGGAGCGUUCUAAGGACAGUGAAGUCAGACCGUAAGGACUGGUGGAGUGCUUAGAAGUGAGAAUGCCGGUAUGAGUAGCGAAAGACGGGUGAGAAUCCCGUCCACCGAAUGCCUAAGGUUUCCUGAGGAAGGCUCGUCCGCUCAGGGUUAGUCAGGACCUAAGCCGAGGCCGACAGGCGUAGGCGAUGGACAACAGGUUGAUAUUCCUGUACCACCUCUUUAUCGUUUGAGCAAUGGAGGGACGCAGAAGGAUAGAAGAAGCGUGCGAUUGGUUGUGCACGUCCAAGCAGUUAGGCUGAUAAGUAGGCAAAUCCGCUUAUCGUGAAGGCUGAGCUGUGAUGGGGAAGCUCCUUAUGGAGCGAAGUCUUUGAUUCCCCGCUGCCAAGAAAAGCUUCUAGCGAGAUAAAAGGUGCCUGUACCGCAAACCGACACAGGUAGGCGAGGAGAGAAUCCUAAGGUGUGCGAGAGAACUCUGGUUAAGGAACUCGGCAAAAUGACCCCGUAACUUCGGGAGAAGGGGUGCUUUCUUAACGGAAAGCCGCAGUGAAUAGGCCCAAGCGACUGUUUAGCAAAAACACAGCUCUCUGCGAAGCCGUAAGGCGAAGUAUAGGGGGUGACACCUGCCCGGUGCUGGAAGGUUAAGGAGAGGGGUUAGCGUAAGCGAAGCUCUGAACUGAAGCCCCAGUAAACGGCGGCCGUAACUAUAACGGUCCUAAGGUAGCGAAAUUCCUUGUCGGGUAAGUUCCGACCCGCACGAAAGGUGUAACGAUUUGGGCACUGUCUCAACCAGAGACUCGGUGAAAUUAUAGUACCUGUGAAGAUGCAGGUUACCCGCGACAGGACGGAAAGACCCCGUGGAGCUUUACUGUAGCCUGAUAUUGAAUUUUGGUACAGUUUGUACAGGAUAGGCGGGAGCCUUUGAAACCGGAGCGCUAGCUUCGGUGGAGGCGCUGGUGGGAUACCGCCCUGACUGUAUUGAAAUUCUAACCUACGGGUCUUAUCGACCCGGGAGACAGUGUCAGGUGGGCAGUUUGACUGGGGCGGUCGCCUCCUAAAGUGUAACGGAGGCGCCCAAAGGUUCCCUCAGAAUGGUUGGAAAUCAUUCGUAGAGUGCAAAGGCAUAAGGGAGCUUGACUGCGAGACCUACAAGUCGAGCAGGGACGAAAGUCGGGCUUAGUGAUCCGGUGGUUCCGCAUGGAAGGGCCAUCGCUCAACGGAUAAAAGCUACCCCGGGGAUAACAGGCUUAUCUCCCCCAAGAGUCCACAUCGACGGGGAGGUUUGGCACCUCGAUGUCGGCUCAUCGCAUCCUGGGGCUGUAGUCGGUCCCAAGGGUUGGGCUGUUCGCCCAUUAAAGCGGUACGCGAGCUGGGUUCAGAACGUCGUGAGACAGUUCGGUCCCUAUCCGUCGUGGGCGUAGGAAAUUUGAGAGGAGCUGUCCUUAGUACGAGAGGACCGGGAUGGACGCACCGCUGGUGUACCAGUUGUUCUGCCAAGGGCAUAGCUGGGUAGCUAUGUGCGGAAGGGAUAAGUGCUGAAAGCAUCUAAGCAUGAAGCCCCCCUCAAGAUGAGAUUUCCCAUAGCGUAAGCUAGUAAGAUCCCUGAAAGAUGAUCAGGUUGAUAGGUUCGAGGUGGAAGCAUGGUGACAUGUGGAGCUGACG
RNAcentral lists this ribosomal RNA (2894 nucleotides) under Bacillus sp. MHSD_37. RNAcentral describes it as "partial 23S ribosomal RNA". It matches the Rfam family "Bacterial large subunit ribosomal RNA". The record is from RNAcentral. Lineage: Bacteria; Bacillati; Bacillota; Bacilli; Caryophanales; Bacillaceae.